NGCAUUCUGGUUCAUUCGCUNAUGUGUUAAUAAAUUUGAACCGAUACUAUUAAAUAGGUGAUUUUCCACUGUCGUUGUUGUGCAAUACCUAAUAGGGAAGCCUGAUCUGACAUGAUGUUCACCACCUGAACUUUCGGUUCAGGUAUAACACAUGGCGAUGAUCUGGUUUGUUA
RNAcentral lists this non-coding RNA (173 nucleotides) under Gammaproteobacteria bacterium TMED225. RNAcentral's name for it is "6S RNA". It matches the Rfam family "6S / SsrS RNA". Rfam says of the family: E. coli 6S RNA was the first non coding RNA to be sequenced, but its function was unknown until recently. It consists of 184 nucleotides that fold into an extended hairpin structure with a large single-stranded internal bulge. Lineage: Bacteria; Pseudomonadati; Pseudomonadota; Gammaproteobacteria. The record is from RNAcentral.